AAUUUGUUGUGGGCAGAUGAAGUGGAUGUGAGAAUCAAAACCUCCGGCAGUAACGAUGUGGCCUUCCGCAGCGAUGACCUCUGUUCCAGCGCCGAUGACCAUGCCCUCUGUAAUGCCGGACUGAAUGAGUGGAUUUCCGGCGUGACCAACACCAGCAAUGCGUCCGUCUUUGACUCCGAUAUCGGCCUUAAUGAUGCCGAGGAUGGGAUCGAUAAUCGUUGCAUUGGUCAGGACAAGGUCGAGGCUGUCCCUACUCGUGGCCAGCGGUGAUUGGCCCAUUCCAUCGCG
Molecule: small RNA, 288 nt
Filed under: marine eukaryotic metagenome
Description: 5' ureB small RNA
Rfam family: 5' ureB small RNA
Source: RNAcentral